Cyanistes caeruleus (blue tit) is the source of this 1919-nucleotide long non-coding RNA. NCBI's taxonomy places the organism in Eukaryota, Metazoa, Chordata, Aves, Passeriformes, Paridae. The record is from Ensembl.
CACCUGGCAGCCUCAGUUCCUGGUUCUGCUCUAGAGGGGCGUUUGUACCUGGAAAAUGCCUGAGGCCAGGGGACAGCAGCAGCACACACAAACACCUCAGGGCAAAGAUUGCUAUCCUGAAAUGUGGUCAUGACACAAAGCAGCGCUGCUGUGACUACAGAUGUAGAGAUGUACCCACCCUGAGCGGUGCAGUCAGACACAGACAUCCAGGCAGUUUGACUGCAGCAGUCGCAGCAGGGAGCGUCCCCCCUGCAGCAGCUGCUGUCUCCAGCUCUGUGACGGAAUCUGCAGGACACGUGGACAAGCACACACCUCUACUGCUUUCAGGCAUUGCAGGGAGCCAGCUGGACCAAUACUGUGCCCCCAUCCUCUCCUCCAACAGGAUGGGCUCCUGGGAUGUGCCUGUAGACCUGCUCCAUCCCAUCCAACUCUCUCCUGUCCAUCUGGCUUCUGCUGCAAGGGCUUCCUCCAGCCCUGGGAUGACAGCUGCCUACUGGCACAUGGGCCAUCACUCUGUUCCUAUCCACUAUCCCAUAGCAACUCAAUGUUCCUUAUGCAAGGAGAUCAUAAGUGCCACUAAAAUCCAAAUCAUCUUUGCUGAGGACUAAAAGAUCCCAUCCACAUGAGUGAGCUGAGUCUGUGCUUCUAUAAAUUGUUCCCAAAUGUUUGCUCAUGCCAUCCACUUCCACAGUGACUGCCUAGGGACUCACACCCUGCUUUCAUCUGAGUGAUUCACCAUCAGAAUGUCCUGACCAAGACCAUGUUCUAACCACGGUCAGAAAAACAUUGUUUUAUGCAUUUGUCACUUUCUCUGUAAGAUAAUACCCUCACCUUAGUUCAGCUGGAUCAGAAGGAUGAAUGAAUUAUUAAUCAGAUAUAAUAAUUCAGAUCUGGGGGAGGGGAGAAGCACCAACAUUUAUGAAUUAUCUUAUGAAUACAAUAUAAAUUAUUCAGCAGCUAUACAUCCUUCUCACAAAGGAAAUCAAAUAUUUUUUGGCUGUAGUAGGCUUGCAGACUCCUAAACAGAGAAAGAAAGAAAGAAAGAUAAAUCCUAAAACAUAAAUGCAAACAAAAAAUGUAAGUAACCGUGGUUUUGAAAGACCUCAGUGGGGAAGUUUUCCCAUGUCACAUUCACCUGUGACUUUGCCCAGCAUUUUAGGGGAAAAAAACCUGGUUUUUUUCUUAAGACAAACAUUUGUGAAGCUCUUGUUUUACUUGGGUAAGUUCAUUUCAUUGUAUUUGUUUAUUGCCUAUUUGUGUGCGUGUGUAAUGAAAUCUCAUCCAUUCUGUAAUAUGCUAACUUUCAUAAAUUAGAACAAAACACCUUUAAGAUUAAAAUUGUAUUCCUGCCUGUAGUGAUUUUACCAUUAAUUUAACAAAGCCAGAACUCAAUCCUAAAAUUUCAGAAAUUGGGGGAAUGACUAUACGCAGAAUUUUGAACCCAAUGGACUUAUUAUUUUCCUUUUUAAGCUCACACUCUUUCACAGCUGUAAAGGCUUGUGGUUUAAAACAGAAUGGCAGCUUGUGUGAGUUAGGCAAGUGAGGUCUUUCUGACCAAAUUGAAGAUUUUUUUUUCUUUCUUUACAAACCCUAGGGGAAAACAAACAUUCCUUUCUACUUUACUUUGUUAGCUGCAGUAUCUCCCACUCAUUGGUGUACUUCAGCAAAGAAAUCGUUCUGCCAAAUGCAAGUAAAGUGUACUGAAAGAACUUAACUGAUCUGUUGAUGGAUCAUGUAAAUACUCUGUUUAAAGGGGUACUGAUUGUAGAGAAAAUUAUAAGCAUUUUAAGAGACUCUUUUUUCAUUGACAGCAAUAUUCAAUAUUAGCAACCCAUUUUAUGAGCAAUACAAUCAUGCAAAAGAAAUGCUUACAUUCACUGCAAAAUAAAAAAGUGCAAAAUUUAGUUUAGAGGGCGGAA